This 14645-nucleotide long non-coding RNA is filed under the name Jatropha curcas. Its description in RNAcentral is "long non-coding RNA (JCUR_LNC000864)". Lineage: Eukaryota; Viridiplantae; Streptophyta; Magnoliopsida; Malpighiales; Euphorbiaceae. The record is from RNAcentral.
UUUGCACAUGGACUAUGAAUUCCUUGAAAAAAGCAUAAACAUUCUUGUAAUUUGCAGCAAGAGAAGCGCUGAAAUUGCUUAGAAGAGUAUGGUUACCUCCUGUAACUGAAAUGAAUGCUUUGGAAGCAUCAAAACCAGGAUAAGAGGUUGGAUAGAAGUGAAGCCGAAGAAACUUGUGACCUGGUGUUAAAUUGAAGGUGCAGGUAAAUUCAGAAAAGAAAAGCCUAGCAGUCUUGUAAGGAACUUGAGGGACUCCUGGGUCAAUGGAAGAGAUUAUAGAUGUCGCAGUGGAGUUAGUUUGCGAUUGCGAGAUGAAAGUUGCAUCAUUAGUCCAGUUCCGGCCAUCAAAGGACGAAGUAUGCAAACCAGAGGAACCACAAUCCAGUGCAACAUUUUCUAAGGGCUCAUAUGGAGGGUAAGCUGCAAAAACAGAUAACUUGAGAUGGAAGGUGAUAUACAUAAGUUGAAAGAUGAACACAGAGCAAGUUUUCAUGGUGGGUGUUUUAUUUAUUCUAACUUUGUCAUUUCAGUGAGGGACAGCUACUGGAGUUCUGCUACUAUAUUUACUUCCAAAGUCUUCCAAGUCAACGUCAACCGACAUCUGCUUGAAAUUUCCAUCCCAAGCCAGCUGUAACCAGUGGGACAAAAUGGUAAUUAUUGAUUGAAUUCUUACACUUUUUUUUCCCUCAGUUAUUCUUGUUCUAUUUUUUCCUCUGUGCGUCAAUUGUCGUUCAUUUCCCUCUUCACAAGUAUAUAUUAAAAUUUUAUUGUUUUAUCUUUUUUUUUUAUUUAAUAUAUGCGUUUCUCAAUAAUAAAUAUUCAUUAAUUAAAUCUUGAUAUAAACAAAAUUAAAGUAUUAACCUUUAAUUUUUCACUUAUACAUUAACUACUUACCUUAAUUAUUGAUAAAUAAUUUUAAUAAUUUUAAUACUUUUAAUAAAAAUUUAAUAUCAUUUAAUUUUUAACCGGAAUACUAAUACAAUGAUAUACUAGGAAAAACAAAACAAAAAUUUAUUUUAUAUAAAGUAAAAAUUAUAUUUUAAUGGUAUUAAGUAAUUUUUAUUAAUUUAUAUACAAAUCAAAUUAAGAAAAAACAUUAUGUAAUAUGAGGAAGUAUAAUUAGUCAAUUGUUUCUAAAAAAGAGUUAAUGAUAUUUCCAAUAAAUAUCAAAGUGCAAUUUAGGUGGUUGAAGAAGAGGAAAAAAAAAGAAUGGAAAGAUAGAAUAGUUGGAUAUAGAACCAACAUUACAUGUAAAAUAUCUAGACACGGUUGUCGUUUUAUUUCUUCAAAACCAUUGGUUAUAAUUAUAAAAUGAUGAAACCGGGACUAUGAAUUGCUUUUAGGUGGUUUGAAGACAAUUUUGGAACAAUAAAACAAAACAAAAAUUAUACUAAAAUUUGUUUUAAAAAAUAUAAUAAAACAAAAAACAAUAUUGAGAUUUUUUUAAAAUAUCUUUUCACAGUUUCAAAUCACAAUUGCUUAUUUCAAAUCAAAACUGCAAUUUUGAUUUAAAAAAAUGAAAAAUAAAAAACAAAUCAUUAAUACAUAAUUUAUGUUACAGUUUAGAAUUAAAAUCAUUAUUUUAAUGCCGACUUUAAUUGUAUCGAUUUCUACUCAAUUUUAAUUUAAUUCGAUUCGUGAUUAUCAUUAUGCAAAUCAUAAUAAUUCCGCUUACUCCAUAUAAAUACUCACAUUAUCUUCUUCUUCCUUUAAAAUAAGUAAAUAAAUAAUUGUGUCAAGGCCCUUUAAAAGUAGAAGUAAUUUCUAAUAAUUAAGAAUCAACAUAGAAAAAUCUAAAUAUUUACUUAAAAAAUCUAAAAUAUUUAUAUAUAAUAAUAAUAAUAAUAAUAAUAAUAAUAAUAAUAAUAUAUAAAUCGACUAUGAAUGUUGGUCGUGAAGAAGCGUAUAAACAGCAGUCAAAGCGUGGCUCCGGAGCCGGAAAGUAGUCAAUAAAACGCUUACAUGAAAAAAGUUGUUUGUCCUUUCUGCAAAAUUAUGAAACACCGAAAGUGGUAUCAGGCUUCUAAGACGAAGCGGAGGUUGUUAGACAUAAUAGAAUGGUAAAUAUUAAUAAAAAUAUUAAUAAAAAAAAAAUACCACUUUCGGUGACCAUUAAAAAAAUGUUAAUAGAAUAGUAAUCAUAUAUAAAAUAUUAAUAAAAAAAAAUACAGUUAUUGACUUUUUUUUUUUUAAUAUAUGAGAGACUCAUCUGACUGAAAUAACAUUACUAUCUAAUAAUUCUUUAUUGAAUUUAAAGAGGAACUUGAUUAACACGAAGGACAGUGGAUCAAGCUUUAGAAAUACUACCUUCAAAUAUCUUCAAUGUAUCCUUGGUAUUGCUCAAUCUUUACCCUUUUAUGCCUCUACUUUUUAUUUGAUUCCAUAACUUGUGCAUCCACCAACACUUCUUCUUCUUCUUCAACUGAGAAGAGUAAAAUUCUCCUCAACUGUGGAUCUGCUGAAUCUGUAUCAUUCAAUGGAAAAAAUUGGACUGGUGAUAGAGGCUCAAAGUUUAUGCCUCCAGAUUAUGAGAGAUCAACAACAAUUUCUGUAGCUUCAAGUCCAUUAAUUGUUGUGCCUGAGAUUCCAUAUUCUACUGCACGCGUAUUCCACUCGCACUUUUCCUAUGCUUUCCCCUUUUCUCCCGGAUUCAAAUUCAUCCGGCUUCACUUUUAUCCAUCGUCAAGUUACUUUAACGCUCGUUUUUCAGUGGUUUCUGGCCAAUACACUCUUUUAAACAACUUCAGCCCUCAUAUUAUGGCUGAGACUUUACAAUCGCCUUAUUUUACAAAAGAUUUUGUUGUUUACUUGAAAGAUAACAUAUUGGAUAUCUCUUUUAUCCCAUCAUCAUCACCCAGAGGAGCUUAUGCCUUCGUCAAUGGAAUAGAAAUCUACAACUUUCCAUCCAAUUUCUCCAAUUAUGCAGCCGUUAGUCGUAAGCCAGCCUUCGAGAUACUUCAUAGAGUAAUUAUGCGUACAGGAAGUGAAUUAUCUGACAAAAAAGAACAGUGGCAAUGGAUAGAUGACUCCAGCUUCAUUUUUGGUAAUUCUACUACAGGCAGUCUCAUUUAUGCAUAUGAAACGAUAAAGGUACUUUGGGGAUACAUGUCUGAGUAUGCUGCACCCACGUUUCUGUACGACUCAGCCCGCAUAAUGGGCAGUGAUGAUGCUGUUAACUUGAGCUACAACCUCACAUGGAGAUUCCUUGUCGAAACGGGUUUCAAAUAUCUUGUUAGGCUUCAUCUUUGUGAGAUUUCUUAUGACGUAACAGAGGUUAAUCAGAGAGUGUUUACAGUUUAUAUUAACAAUAGGACGGUGGAGAAAAGUUUGGACGUAAUUGCUCUGGCUGGAGCUCCAUUCGUUGCAAUUUUCAAAGACUAUGUGGUUAUGGUUCCAGAAGAAGAGACAGGAGAAACGAAUCAGAAAUUGUGGCUAGCUUUGCAUCCAAAUUCACAGUCAAAGCCUAAAUUUCAGAAUGCAAUUUUAAAUGGAGUUGAGAUCAUAAAAAUCAGUGAUGCAAACAACAACCUUGCUUCAAGCGUUCAAUCAAGAAUUGGAAAACCAAACAACAAGAUUCGACUCAUUAUGAUAAUCAUCGGAUGCGUUGUAGUUUGUUCUGGUGGGACUUUAAUUUUAUGUUUCAUACUUUACCGGCGGAGAAAAAUGAAUUCAGAUGACCAUUCAAAAGUAUCAGCUAUACCAUCAACCUGGCUCUGUUACCAAUUUAAAUUGUCAGAUAUCAAACUCGCCACCAACAAUUUUAGUGAAGCUCUAGUGAUCGGUGAGGGUGGUUUUGGUAAGGUUUACAGAGGUUCAAUAAAUGGAGGUACCACUCAAGUUGCUAUAAAGAGAAAAGGUCCAAAGUCUCAACAAGGGAUGCAGGAGUUUCUAACUGAAAUUGAUUUGCUUCCAACAAUUCAUCACAUGAACUUAGUCUCAUUACUUGGUUUUUGCCAAGAACACAAUGAACUAAUUCUAGUCUACGAGUACAUGCCAUGUGGCACUCUCCGCGAUCAUCUGUACAAGGGAAGUAACAAUCCACCAUUGUCAUGGAAUCAAAGGCUCAAGAUUUGCAUUGGUGCAGCUCGAGGAUUACAUUAUCUUCAUUGCGGAACAAAGAAUUCGAUUAUUCACCGCGACAUUAAGUCAGUCUACCAAUAUAUUGUUAGAUGAAGAAUGGAUGGCAAAGGUCUCAGAUUUUGGGUUGUCAAGGUUAGGCGCCAUUACAGCAUCAACCAGCCAUGUUAAAACUCAAGUGAAGGGUACGUUUGGGUAUUUAGACCCAGAAUACUACAGAACUAGAACACUGAGCAAGAAAUCAGAUGUUUAUUCUUUUGGUGUAGUGUUAUAUGAGGUACUAUGUGCAAGACCAGCUGUGUUGGUGGAAGAAGAGGAAGGUAAGGUUAGUUUAGCUGGAUGGGCUCUGGAAUGCAGUAGAAAUGGUACCAUUAAUUGCAUAAUUGAUCCUUCUUUGAGAGGAAAGAUUGCUACUGCUUCUCUCAUUGCAUUCGUGGAAAUUGCAGUAAAAUGCUUAUCAGUUCCGCGAACCCAAAGGCCAGCCAUGGGAGAUGUGGUUCAUAGUCUGGAAUUAGCAUUACAGGCACAAGAAAAUGAGGAUUGGAAAGAGGAAGUACAGAGUUAAGGGACGAAAAUUGAUAUCACUUGUUUUUUCUCUUGUUUCCAAUUAUUGUUGAUUGUACUAAGCUAGAAACCAGUGCAAGCACCAAUAGAAUAAUCAAAUCAAUCUAUCUCAACAUCUACGUAUUUUCUCUCUGUUUUCCCUUUCCUAUACUCUGUUCUUCUUUCUCUUCUCCUUUCCCAUUUUUAUUUUUUCUGUGCCUUCUUGUUCUUUCGGCUAGUCUUCUAUUUUAUGGUUUAAAUUUUAAAUCAAUAAUGGAGGAUGAAGAUGCAAUACUCCUACUUAUGGAGAAUCGAUUCAGGAAUCUAGAGAUCUGCAAUCGGCUAUGAGGUCUCCAGUAAAGCAAAAUAAGAAAGAAAAUUAUACCAUUCCAUGUACAAGAAAUUAUUGAUGUCCAGGAAGAUCUGAGCAAAAGCAUGAGUCGAAUGUGAAGCAUCUUGAAGGAAUUUAAAGAUCCGAUAUUCCAUUCGAAUGUUUCGAUUAGAGACGGUAGCUAUGAUCCAGAAUCCAAAGCAAUUCGUGUUCUUCAAUUCGUGAUGUUGAUGUGAAAUUCCCAAAUAGUAGAAAUUACGAUAUAACGUGGAACAAAUCUGGUUUUGUUCAAGAGAAAUUAAAACUAGAUUUUUUCUGAAACCAUAUUUAUUCUUUGUUCUUGGGAGUACUUUGGGUGAUGAGGCAAGUAAGAAAGAUAUUGGAGAUUUAUAUGGAAAAACAUGGUUCCACAGGUGUGCUGAUCAUCAAAUUAGGUGGCAGCAUGUGGUUUUGGCGAUGCUUAAAGAAGAUGAACCGGAGAUUUAGACGGGAUAGAAGAAUAUAAUUCUCUGUCAGAGAAAGAUGAAGGUGCUUGUGAAAAUGCCGAUAUGAAAUUCAAGAUUAAUAAGUGCUCUAAUAACACCUUGCUCAUGAGUUGAGGCAGGACUAGAAUGGGAAUGAUAUGAUGGACAAGGGUAAAUAUUAUGGUUUUGCUUGGUUGCGUCUGACAAAAUACUUCAAGUGGUCAUUACUAAGCAUGCAUGAGUUUAAAUUGCUACUCUUCUCUCAUUGCAUUCGUGGGAAUUGCAGUAAAAUGCUUAUCAGUUCCACGAACCCAAAGGUCAUCCGUGGGAGAUGUGCUUCAUAGUCUGGCAUUGGCGCUACAGGUACAAGAAAAUGCGGAUUGAAAGAGGAAGUAGAAAAUUAAGAGACUAUAAUUGAUAUCACUUUUUUUCUUUUUCAAUUUUUAUUGUUCUAUUAAGCCAGAUAUCCAUUCAAUAGUGUUUCUGUAAUGUCUUGCAUAAUUUAUUCUGAUUUUUGGCAGAUUCGUCUGUGACAGUUAAAUUACUCUAGACAGCAAAGUGAUUUUGACAGGAUAACUUGUGCUAUUAAUAAAUAAUUAUUUAUUUUUCAUAUGAUGUACUAAGGACAUAAUAAUUAAUAAUACACUUGUAAUAUCUAAAUGUUUAAUGUGAUUUUUGUUCUUGUCUUUUUUAGCUCGUGUUGAUGCUUUUUUUAUUCAUAUUAUUUUCUGUUUGUUAAGAAGAUUAUAUUCAUUGUCCUCAAUAAGCAUACACUCCUCUCUUUUUUUUUUUUUUCUCAAUAAGUUUUUCUUUAUCUAAGAAUAUUGCAGCCUGGAAUCAAAGUUUCACUUCCUCAGUUUAUUUAGUAAUGUCUCUUUCCUUGUGAGACAACAAGAAAUUUCUGAAAUGGUGAUGGAAAACUCGGUCAUUUAUCUUUUGGGUUGUUUCUGUUUAUAUUUCCUUCUGAUUCUUGGCAAGUUUCUUCACAAACAGUGGUUGGUGCCAAUUUGCAUACAGUCAAUAAUGAGGUCACAAGGAAUAAAAGGCCCUUCUUACAGAUUCCUCCAUGGGAACACUAAACAAAUAGCCAAAAUGAGAAAGGAAGCAAUUUACAAUCCUAUGGAAUUGUCACAUCACAUACUUCCAAGAAUUCAACCACACAUUUAUUCUUGGAUGAAGCUCUAUGGUAAUAUUAACCCUUUUGUUUUUUGAAUUUCAAUUAAAAGUCUAAUUAAUGCCCCUAAUUUUAUUGAUUAUGCAGGAAUGAACUUUCUUCUUUGGUACGGUGCAAGAGCUCAACUGACAGUUACAGAACCUGAACUGGUUAAAGAGAUUCUGAACAAUAAAGAAGAAACAUAUUGCAAAAUAGGGUUCCAAGAUUACAUUAAGAUGGUAUUAGGAGAUGGACUUGUGUUAUCCACAGGCGAAAAAUGGCUGAAGAUGCGUAAACUUGCUAAUUAUGCUUUUCAUGGAGAAAACUUGAAGGUAAUUACUUCCUUUUUAUGUUAUUUAAGUUGAACUUUAAGGUUUUUAUUAUGAAGAAAAUUAAUAGAUUUUCCUUGCAGGGUAUGGUUCCCGCAAUGCUAGCAAGUGUGGAAAUGAUGGUUGAAAGAUGGAGACAUCACGACGGAAAGGAGAUUGAAGUAUUUCAAGAAUUCAAGGUUUUAACAUCAGAAAUAAUCUCAAGAACAGCUUUUGGAAGCUCCUAUUUGGAAGGAGAGGAAGUAUUUGAUAUGUUGAAGAAGAUGAUCUUCAUUGUUGCAAGAAACCACUAUAAAGUGAGAAUUCCUUGUCCAGGAAUUAAGUAAGCUUUCUUUCCCUACUCCUUUUAAGUCACUCUUAAUUUGGGAAUUGUAUGCAAUUCUUGGAACAGGAUUUCAUAUUUUUCAUAUUGGUUCAUAAGAAAUCUUUUUUUAUUUUUUAUUUUUUUGAUAUUUCUAUAUUUGACGAGGACUUCAAUAAAAUCUAUUUUUAAUUAGAAUUCUAAUAUAACAAACAAAUUUUAUUAAUUCUUUUGAAAAAUAAACUUGCUAUUUUUUUGGUAUUGAAACAUCCACUAUUUAUUGUUUCAGAAGAUUUCUGAAAACAGGGGAUGAACUUGAAUUGGAUAAAAUCCAAAAAGAGAUAAGAGACACCAUUAUCAAUAUGAUAAAGAAAAGAGAGAAAGCAACAAUGAUGGGUGAAUUGGAUGGCUAUGGUAGUGAUUUUCUUGGAUUACUUAUCAAAGCUUAUAAUGAUCCUGAUAAGAAUAAGAGAAUAUCUAUAGAUGACAUGAUUGAUGAAUGCAAGACUUUCUAUGUCGCUGGACAAGAAACUACUGCAAGCUCACUUACUUGGACAGUUCUUCUUCUAGCAAUUCACACAGAUUGGCAAGAUGAAGCUAGAAAAGAGGUCCUUGAACUAUUUGGCCAGCAGAAUCCAACUGCUGAUGGGGUUGCAAGAUUGAAAACUGUAAGUAAACCUUAGCUAGGGGCAAGCAUUGGUCAGUUUGGAUAAUAAAGACUGAAGAAAACCAAAAUAACUGAAAUUUCAUUAAAAAAAUAUCAUUUCAGUCCUUUUUUUUUUUCUUUUGAACCAAAUUGUGCUCGCCUUUAGUAUUAUCUACUAACUAAAUUUAUGAACUUGUUUGGGAUGACACAAAUUUAUUUUCUCCAAUGUUUUUCUCCUUUGCAGAUGAAUAUAAUCAUUAAUGAAUCUCUAAGGCUAUAUCCUCCAGUCUUUCAUGUAACAAGGGAAGUCCAAAGAGAAGUCAGACUGGGGCAACUAAAUAUUCCAAACAAGAUAGAAACAUAUAUUCCAACACUAGCACUUCACACAGACUAUAAAAUAUGGGGAGAAGAUGCUUAUCUUUUUAAACCAGAAAGAUUUGCAGGAGGAGUGGCUAAAGCUACUAACAACAGUGUCUCUUCAUUUCUUCCUUUUGGUUUGGGACCCAGAACUUGUGUUGGCUUGAACUUUGCAAUUACAGAAAAGAAAAUUGCUCUUUCAAUGAUUUUGCAGCGCUACAAGUUCACUCUCUCCCCUUCUUAUGUACAUUCACCUGUUCAAAUUCUCACAAUGUGUCCACAACAUGGAGUUCAGGUCAUUCUUGAGGCAUUGUGAAGUAGAAAACGAAUUUGCAUUUUUUUUUUUUUUUUAAAGUAUUGAGGGAAGGGAUUCAAAUAUAAAUUUAUUUUUAAGUCGUAUAUAUAUAUACUUACCAUUAGGUUAUGUUUUGGUGUGCAGGAAUUUACAUUUAUGAAUGUGGAAUACCAGACUAUGUGUUGGUGCACAGGAAUUUGCAGGAAUUUGCAUUUAUGAAUGUGGAAUAUAAUACACACCAACAGUACCAGCACACACUGCACCUGAUUUAGUUAGUAUACGGCACUGCUCGUUUCAUGGGUUUUGAUCCUAGAAUCAAUUUACAUUUUAACUUAAGUUGGUUUUUUCCUGUUGAGACCGGAUUUUUAUAUCUUGUCAGGCUCCAUUUCUGUGAGCUUGAUAGGAGUAUAACAAAAAUAAACCAGAAGGUAUUUUCUAUAUAUAUGAACGAAGAAACGGCUCAGGGUCAAGCAGAUGUUAUUGCGUGGAGCGGUGGGCAAGGUGUUCCAGUCUACAAAGACUAUGUCGUAAUGAUCCCACUGGGAAAAGAAGGGAUUCAGAAUCUUUGGCUUGACCUGCACCCUAACACAGAAACCAAGCCUCAAUAUUAUGAUUCUUUCUUAAAUGGAAUAGAGAUAUUCAAAUUAAACAAUUACGGUGGAAAUCUUGCUGGACUUAAUCCUCCUCAAAUGCAGAAUCAGGAGGGAUCUUCUGUAUCAUCAUCAACCAGUUCAAAGAAAAGACUAGUCAAAAUUAUUGGAGUUGUCAUGGCAUUUAUUAUAGUGUGCUUUCUUGCUUUCUGGAUCAGAUUAGCCAAGCAAACAAAAAAGAAAACGAACAAGUAUGUAUUGAUUUUGUAAUUUAAAUAACUCAAUUAUUCUAAUUUAAAUAAGAAGUCAUACCUUCAACUUUGUUCAGUUUAGUUCUUGUCUGAGCUUUUAGUAUUAAAAAAAAAGAAAAAAAAAAAGUGUGUUCAUGGCUGCCACCAUUUAUGACAAGCUGUCAUGCCUUCCGUCUACUUUCAGCAAUACAUUGGAGAUGUUUAAAAAGAGAGAGUAAUUCUAAGGCUUCAUCCACUAUCCUUAAUUUAUGUUAAUCCAUUCCCAUCUUUCACAAGUCAAUAAAAUUAAUUUAUCAUAUUAAUUUUCUAUGUGAUUAUUAUUUAUUAAUACAUUUUGAGUAGGCUGUUGAACAAAAGUCCGUCAGCGUUUGGGUCGGUGAGAGGAUUUUUAAUUAUUUAUUACUAUUUCCUAUUCAACAACCUUAAUUAAAAUUUCCCUUUAUUUUCUUAGAAUUUUUUUUUUUUUUGGAGAAAUCAUUUUCUACUUUCUGAGUGGUUAUUGUUAAACUUUUUGUAUGACCCAUUUUAAGAAUUCAAUGGCCUAUAGCCUAAACCAAGUAGCCAAGGUUUAGACUGAGUUGAUUACCCACCCAUGAAUCAAAUCAAUAGAAAUAAAAACUUUUAUUAAAAUAGGGUAUUUCUGACUAUAAAUUAAAAAUAAAAUAAAAAUUUUUUAAAAAUUCUUAUUUACUUUUAUUAAAAUAGGGUAUUUCUCUUUCAUCAUCUAAUAACUCCAUAUAAAGCAUUGAACUGAUAAGAUUAUCAAUGCAUAUGCUCAGACAUUUAUUUUGUUUUUACCUCAUCAAUUAACAAAUCAUAUUCUUCCAAGUGUCUUAAUGAUUUAUGAGACAUAAAUAAUCAUAUGUCACUUAAUUUUCCUUUAACUUGAUUUUUUAAGCUACACUUUAUUAUAUUUAGAAUCAAAUGAAAUUGAGACAUUCAAAUUACAAUUAAAUUAAGUAACAAUUAAAUAAGUCAUAUUUUUUAUACUUGAAAAUUAAUUCUACAUAUAAAUUUCACUACGCUAAUAAGUGCAUUAAAGAAUAAUUAGGUUGUGAAAUACAUAAAAAAAUCGUGAAUAUUUUCUAGAAUUUUGUGUAUAUAAAGAUUGUUAAAUUAGAUGAAUUAAAAAUUUAAUCAUGAAUUAGAAAAUAAGAAUUAUUGUGAUAGGAAAUGUCCACUGAACAUAUAUUGGAAAUUUAACCACCAAACACGAAAAUAAGCAUUUUGUUUACAGGUUGAGUGGCAAAAUGGUGAAUAAAUAGUAAAAAAACAAACAAACAAAGUUUUGAACCCAUGACUUACACAUAAUUAAUGACUUUACAAGUAUUCUUUGCCACUAGACUAACUUCAUUUAAACUUGUUUUAUAUUUUAUUAAGUCACAUUUAACAAUUAAAUUAAAUUAAGAAAUUCAAAUUGAAAUUUAAUGAUGUAACAAUUAAAUAAAUCAUUUUUGUUCACACUUGAAUUAAAUUAAAUUUAGAUAAUCUAAUCCAAAUUAAAUUACGUUACACCUAAAAUAAAAUUAAACUAAGUAACUAUUGAUUAUGUCACACUUGAAAGUUAUAACUCAGAUGACAUAUAAACACACAUUUUUGACAUGAGGAUAAGUAAAAUCUCAUGAUUAAUCCUUGUACAAAUCAUUUUGACAUGUAUUAUACAUUUUCUUAUGAUAAGUCUAUAGAAAGUUCUCUACAUAUAAAUUUUAAUGUAUAUAGAUAAAGAAAAAAACUUGGAUGGUUAAUUUACACCUAUUAAAUCAUAUUUAAAAAUUAAAUUAAAUUAAGAUAUCUAAACUAAAAUUAAAUGAAAUAACAAUUCAGUAGUCACGCUUGAAUCAAAUUAAUUAGGCAAUCUAAUUUGAAUUAAAUUAAGUCACCCCUAAAAUUAAAUUAAAGUAAAAUACCCUAAUUGAAAUUAAAUCAAGUAGUCGUUCUCAAAAAAAAAAAAAAAAAAAUCAAGCAGUGAUUGACGAAGCCUCGUACUUAGAACUAAAUUAAAUUAAAAGAAUCAAAUUGCAACGAGAUUAAGUAACAAUUAGUUAAAGUUGCACUUGAUCACACAAUAAUUAAAUUAAAUUUAGUCAAGUUAAAAAUUUUUCGAUUAGGCAUGAACAAUUGUAGGAUCCAUACUUUGGUUAAAAUUUUUAUAUAGAAUUUAGACUUAAAAAUUUUUAUUAAAAGGAUUCAUAUGCUAGGAUUUGUAUCCUCUCAAAUAAAUUAAAAGGACAUUCACAUAAAGUUUUGUUAAAAUUGGAUCGGAUUGACCGGUCGAACCAGUUAAACCAAAAUCAAUUGGUUGUUCGAUUCCAUUAUCAACUUGGACCGAUUUUUGAAAAAAAAUGAUUUUUUUUAGAAAAUCAGGUUGAACCAGUGAUAAAACCGGACAAAACCAGAUUUUCUUAAUAAAAACUGACUUUUUUUGGAAAAAAUUGAAUUUUUUUUAGAAAAUUGAGCUGAAAAUUAUUUUGUUGCUAUAUAUAUUCACACACAUAUGUAAAAAUAUUUAAAAAAAUAAAAAAUUAAGAAUCUAGUUGAACCCGUCCAACUCGAUCCAACCUUGAUCUGGUCAUGAUACCGAUUCAGUUGUCAGUCUAACUUAUAAGUACUUGGGUGUUGUUCAAUCCUUAUAGAAUUCAUUUUAGACUUUAAAUUUUUAUCAUGCACAUAAAUUAUUUUGAUUAACUUGAAUCAAAUUAAUCAUGACCAAUAAAAAGGAUGAUGUCAAAAACAAUUCCUUUUAAAUUAAAAUUUAAUGAUUGUCAUCAUUUUCAACAAUAUAUAUAAUUAAUUAUAUGAUAAAGUGAAGUAAAAUAAUUAAUUGUGAGAACCGUAUUUAAUGCAUAUAUUUUCCUCAAAAAUUAAGUUUUUUUCCCUCCCAUUUAUCCAUCCAAAACUACUCAAGAUUUUAUAUGUCAUUUAAAGUGUUAUGGUCCAGAAUCGCCAGAAACCAAAUAACACUACUCUUUUAUAUAUAUACACGUGUGCGCGUGUAGAAUUAAUUAUACUUAAAUACCAAACUUUAUUUUCUUACACACAAAAUUCAUUUUAUCUCCCAAUUGGCAUCAUUAUCUCAGAAAAUUCAACUCCUAGAGUCAAAUCCGAGUUACCGGAAAUCACUUUCCUAUCCUCACUGUUGCCAUGAAUUUGCAAUUCCAGUGCCAACUCUAAGCUCCAAAGCACCUGGCUUAUCGAUGGCCGAUCCAGCCCCUGCUCCGCCAAGCAUUUCUGGGUAAUCUCCAUAAACUUUGCAAGAGAUGCUGGUGUAAUCUUACCUUCCAAAUGAGGAUCAAUGAGAUUUUCCAAAUCUCCCUUUUCAUAACAAUUUAAGGCCCAUUCAACAAAACUUACAGCAUCUUCAUUCUCCUCAUUGUCAUUAGAAUUAUAAUUCACCACAAACUUGGCAGAAAGUACCUCCAACAGAACUACCCCAAAAGAGUAUACAUCAGAUUUAUCUGUUAAUUUAAGAAGACGACAGUAUUCCGGGUCUAUAUACCCAAUACUACCCAUAACUUUGGUGCUUCCAUUAGUAGGGUCUAUUUUAGACAAACCAAAAUCUGCAAUCUUGGCCACCCAAUUCUCAUCCAAGAGGAUAUUGCUGGUCUUGACAUCGCGAUGGACUAUCUGAAACUUCAUUCCUGUAUGCAGGUAGCAUAAGCCCUGUGCGGCUCCAAUGCAUAUAUGUAGCCGUUGGUUCCAAGAAAGAGGCAUCUUUUGCUGUUCAUCAGAAAAAUGAAGGUGCUCGAACAGAGUACCUUUAGGCAUAUACUCAUAUACCAAGAUCAUCUCCUGCUCAUCACUGCAAUAACCCAUCAAAGAAACAACAUUUUGAUGACGGAGUAGAGAGAGUGUUUUGAUUUCUGAUUGAAAUUCAUUAUGACCUUGUGCCUUAUUGCUACGCUUAACCGCAACUGUAGUUGUUUCGCCAUCAAUAUAACCUUUAUAAACCACACCAAAUCCUCCGGUACCAAUUAUCCUUCCCUCGUCAAAGUUAUUCGUGGCAGCUUUGAUCUCCUUCAUCGUAAAAUAGCGAAAUGGUGACUUGUUCUUCUUCUUUGCUCUUUCGUUUGCUACUCGGAUCCAGAAAGCAAGGGAGCACACUAUAAUAAAUGCCAUGACCAACCCACCAGCUGAGCCUCCAAUAAUUUUAGCUAGUCUUUUCUUUGAACUUAUUGUUGAUGAUGAUAUAGAAGAUGAAUUAACUAGCGGUCCCUCAUGAUAUUGUAAUUGAGGAUUAUUAGGUACAGCAAGAUUUCCGCCAUAAUAGUUUAAUCUGAAUAUCUCUACUCCAUUUAAGAAAGAUUGAUAAUAUUGAGGCCUGGUUUCUGUGCUAGGGUGCAGGUCAAGCCAAAGAUCCUGAAUCCCAUUUUUUCCCUGUGGGAUCAUUACGACAUAGUCUUUGUAGACAGGAACACCUUGCCCACCGCUCCACCCAAUCACAUCUGCUUGAGGCUGAGCCGUUUCAUUGUUCAUAUAUAUAGAAAAUACCUUCUUGUUUAUUUUUGUCAUAUUCCUAUCAAGCUCACAGAAAUGGAGCCUCACAAGAUACAAGAAUCCAGUCUCAACUGGAAAAAACCAACUUAAGUUAAAAUUUAAAUUGAUUCUAGAAUCAAAACCCAUGAAACGAGCAGUGCGGUAUACUAAAUCAGGCGCAGUGUACGCUGGUACCAUUGGUGUGUACUUGACCUGAAGACCGUAAUCGUAUGCUAAUUGCCCAUCAGCAGCUCCAUACAAGUAUUGAUCGUCUUUUAUCCAAGUGCGAAACAUCCCUGUAUCUGAUUUAGGAGAAAUGUCAUCGCCGCCUACAUUUAUUCUGUAAACUGUUUCAAGUGCAUAUGUGGUAUCUAGUCUGAUAGGAUUAUAAGGAUACCCAACAAAAGGAAGAGGAACAUUUUCACCCCGUAUGUAGAGAUUCAGAGGCAUUGAAACAAGUUCAAUCCCAUUCACAAAAGCAAAUGCAUCAGAAGCAUUUGAAGAAGGGCUAAAUGUUAGUCGAAGCGAAUGGUUUUGCACAUGGACUAUGAAUUCCUUGAAAAAAACGUAAACAUUCUUGUAAUUUGCAGCAAGAGAAGCGCUGAAAUUGCUUAGAAGAGUAUGGUCACCUCCUGUAACUGAAAGGAAUGCUUUGGAAGCAUCAAAACCAGGAUAAGAGGUUGGAUAGAAGUGGAGACGAAGAAACUUGGGACCUGGUGUUAAAUUGAAUGUGUAGGUAAAUUCAGAAAAGAAGAGCCUAGCAGUCUUGUAAGGAACUUGAGGGACUCCUGGCUCAAUGGAAGAGACCAUAGAUGUCGCAGUGGAGUUAGUUUGC